GGAAGGGUAGCUCAGUGGCAGAGCACCACCAUCUCGGUGGGGGCCUUACGGCUUCGUGUGGUUCGAAUCCCACCCCUUCCG
Molecule: transfer RNA, 81 nt
Filed under: Natranaeroarchaeum sulfidigenes
Lineage: Archaea; Methanobacteriati; Methanobacteriota; Halobacteria; Halobacteriales; Natronoarchaeaceae
Also listed under: 1 other name
Rfam family: tRNA
About the family: Transfer RNA (tRNA) molecules are approximately 80 nucleotides in length. Their secondary structure includes four short double-helical elements and three loops (D, anti-codon, and T loops).
Source: Rfam by way of RNAcentral